This 3312-nucleotide long non-coding RNA is filed under the name Aplysia californica (California sea hare). RNAcentral's name for it is "uncharacterized LOC106011838". The record is from RNAcentral. Lineage: Eukaryota; Metazoa; Mollusca; Gastropoda; Aplysiida; Aplysiidae.
GAGUGGCCCAUGGCCCAUCUUGUUAGGCCUAUGUACUAUCUUUGGUCACACCCAAGAAUCCAUGUCAAAGGUCAUGCCCUAAAAUGGCAGCUCUAGGCUAAACAAGGAAGUUCUAAAGUCAUCUUCAGAACAUGUUUCUUUGUGACAUGAAUGGGAAAUUGUUCACUUGAGAGUUUUCUUAAGUCACGCAAGACAAUAGUGGCGCCACUUAGGGCCUUUCAAUCAGCUCACCACAUCUGCAGGGAUUGUUUGAAGACAGGCCCACGCUAUUGUCGGAAAAAUGGAUGGUCGAAAUCGUCUUUGGAACCGUCUGAUUUCCAGGUUCCGGCGCAACAGAUCGUACUAUUGCUAUGAUGAGGUGGGGGGUGGCCGUAGGUAUAGACGGCGCCCCAGGAGGCAGCAGGAUCUGCCUGUCUCUCUCCAUGGGUCCACAAGAUGUAAUCCUUUUUGGCAAAAUGGGCCCAGAAGCAGAGCUCAACUUUUAGAAACGCCAAGACCUGCCUCUUAUUAUUUUCGUCAGAUCCACAGAAACCCCACUGGUGGUAACUAUGUGCCAAAGUGCCUGUCAGGUGUCAACUUUGGGGCAUUACUUCUUGGGACAACCUCUAAUGAUGAUUUCUCCCGGAGCUGCUGGCUGGAGAACAGUUUACACUUGUUUGGAAGUGCUAACCCGGAUGAUAAUGAUGAUGAUGUUGACUGUAGGCAAAGUUUCUUGAGGCGUAGAUCUAUUUCUCCCCUUGGUGGUGUUGACAUUGAUGGGGAGACCACCAUUAGAUCUUCCGUAAGUGCCAGAGGGCAAAGAAUUGAGGACCUCUCUGGCGAUGGUGACUGCUACUCAGGAGAUGGUAGUCGGUCAGACGGAACUGUUUCUGACAUCACUCGUUUUUACAACAGCGUGAAUUUGACUGGUUUUGCGUUUAAUACUGAAGAAGGGAUGCAUUUUGAGCAGCCACCACCUUAUUCAGAAUAUCCGGAGGACCCACCUCCACCGUAUACAGCGAAUUUUUUUACUAGACCUAGUAGGCCUAGUGGGUCAACUUCCCGUUUUUCGGAUCAGGCUAGUCUUCAGCUUUCUGGCCUCGCCAUUCUGUGGUGACACCCAAAUGCACUACUUUAGGACUUUGAUUUCUGGCAUUUUUUAUUCCAACUGUGAAACAAAGUGUGAAGUAUAAAAUUACGUUAUUAAAAUAGGUGUUGCAUAAAAUAAUUAUACCUCAUGAUUACUUUUCCCAGAAGUGCCUUUUAGAAUGAUUUUUUUCAUGCUCUCGUAAUGUUUACAGCUAAUAAAGACUAUACACUGCAUUUUACAUGUACACGUUUUUAAAAGGAAUUGUAUUGUUAUUGACAUGUUUUUCUUGUUUUAUAAUGUAAGCAUAGAUCUAAUGCUUGUUUUUUGCUAAUAAUUUUGAAACUGAUAACAUUUGAGAGAUGAUUCCAAGGACAAAGGAAGAAUAUUAUGAAUUUCAAUGUCAUUCCUUUAUUGAGGGGAGUAGAAAGCACUGGGCUUACUGGUUGCUAUUUCAAAUUGGUUUGAAUUAUUUUGUUUGUUCCAACAGUUCCAAAGUGGUUAAACUGGUAGGCCUACUUAUGCAAGUUGUUACAUUUUGUGAAAAAUAUGCUACUGACUACUUGAAGUUGAAGUAGAAGUAAAAUCCCCCUCCUUUCCCUUACAUAAGAUAGUGGCUUCUCUUUAUUUUCAUUCAGUCUCAUUUAUUUACUGCUUCAAUCCCAUGCCUGCGAUUAUAAUUGGACCGAGAAAUUAUGUGUUGUUAGCUUUGGAACAGAGAUUUAAUUCUAAGCAGUGUUUUACCUUAAUCCUCACAAAAUUAAUCCCCACUUUUGUGAUUCCAAAUAAGUAAUAAAUAAUUCCUUUCUGACAGUUUUUUUGAGGGGGUUGUUGGAGGGUGUCACUGGUUGGUACUGCUCCUUUCUCUGGACUGUUUCUGUUUAUGUGUUUCUCUUUAUUUGACCUGUUCAGGUUCCAGAAGAAAACUUUGUUCUUUGAUUCACCUUCUCAAGUUUUAUGGGCUGAGACUGUUAUUUUUUUAAUUGUUUAAUUAAGAGAGCAUGCUUGUUGGGAAGGAUAAUUAUUUUUACAUCGUGAGAAUUAAAUCAUUUGUGAAUUGGAUAUAUUUCCGCAUGAGCAGUUCUUACUUAAUGCGCUGUUUUCUUGAAGAUAGAUAUUCAUGCUUUCAGAGCUCUUGUUGCAAGCAGUAUUUAUCCAUGACUAUGAUAAAUCUCCAUUAUUGGGUGUAUGUGUGUUCUGUGAACCUCCAGAGUAUCAUCAUGAAAGACUUCAGCUGGAAAAUGUAUGCACUACUGUUCAAAUGGUCAGAAUUUGAAUCCUUAAUGCUGGAUGUUUUACACAAAAAAAUGUCCAGUAAGAAGUUCAUUUUUUUCUCCUCAAGAAUUCACCUUGUAGACAAACAGGUUGAAUUGAAAAUCAACCUUCUAGGUUGAAUUGAAAAUCAACCCUCUUAACCCUAAGUGUUUUCAAAUUAAAUUGGGCCUAAGGGAGAAGAACGAAGAGAAUUCUGCUAAACUUCAAGCUAACAGUUUUUAUCAAAAUAGAUCUAGUUGCUUGUAUCAGGAUGAUAAGUGGGCGCCACCUGUAGGUCCUGCUUCUUUUCUCUCUCUCGGAAGUUUCUGUCUGUUUCAGUGUCUGUCUUGCUUUUUCUUUGCAUUACAUUACAUGACGGUUUUUGUGUGAUGCUUCUCUUUACUCAGAUUAACAAACAAAUAAGCAGGGAACUGCACACUUUGCAUCGUUUCUGUUGUCAGAGACUGACUCAUUCACUUUUUUCUUCAUGGCUUUUCAUCAGUCGUCUUUCUCUGUCGAGAUCCAUUAUAUAUAUUAUUAUAUUGUCAUGACCUGCCAUCAUGAACUGAUGGAAACUUGUCCAACCCAGCUAAAACAAGCUGGGCACAAAACUUGCCUGUCCCACAGGAUUUCCUCAUUGGAUGGCUGGGCUUUGACAAAAGUCAAAUCACUGAUAUAUACCGAGUUGCAAAAGUUCUGUCACACCCAUUAUAUUACGAUAAUUUUUGGUACAGCGUAAUAAUUGCCAUAAGAAUUAAAAGUAAGACUUUCAUAACUUAUGAGACUCCUUGUGCCAGAGCAGACGAAGUAAAUCAGAAACCGGAAGUAGUGCGUGGACAAAGUGUUGGUAUUGAUUUCUCUAGGUCUACAUUGUAAUCAAAGCUUCCUACAUACAACAUUUGCUUUAAAUCACGUAGACAAUAUGUAAACACACCUUACACACAAUGAAAUUCCGUACUUUUUAACGGUUGGGUACUUUUUUCACCUGUUUU